UCAUAGUUCCUGCUGUCAAGCUGGCAAAUUUUAACAUCAAGCUGCAUCAGCAUUCUUGAGAAGGAUAAAGUUUUAUCUCAAUUAAUAAUUAAAAGUGCCUAGACAGCCAUCCUGGGGUCCCCCAUGGUUGUUGAGGGCAGGUCUUCUGUUGCUGUCAUGAGAUCUGCCAGGCUUCAGAAGAUACUGUGGAUUGGAAGUUUAUAGAAAGACCAGUCUACCUUUUCCUAGGCAACCUGAGGCAGUUAAUUCCUCAGUAUGCUGUUUCCCAUGGUCUGAAGAGGACUUGGAGCAGUUGAGGUGAGAGGGGUUUGUCAAGCUUGUUGAUUUUCUCAAAGAUCCAGCUCAUCUUCAGAAAAUUCAAGGGACCCUGGAUGUUUGAAUACGGACAGAUGGAAACUAUUUACAACCCAAUAAGAAUCAGCAAGAAAAUCAAAUAGGUCUUAUACAGAAAGAACUGAAGAAGAAAAGGACACUAUUAAAAGAAAGAUGAAGUAAAAUUGCUUAUAUUCAUCUGGAGGAGGAAAGAUAUAACUCGCCUUUGCUGACCUCAACAAGGGUAAGAGAAAAGUGACAAUAAAGAAGGACACCUAAAACUAAGGAUGAGGCUUAUUGGAAUCAAACAUGUUUUUUAAACUUUGGUGAAAAACACUACAAAGGUAAGUAGGAAUUUUAUCUAAGUAUCAUUUUCAAGAACAAAGCUUUUAUGGUAACAUCAUUCUAUGAAAGGAUACAGGAUUUUUAGUCAUAUUCUCUCAAUAGAACCUCGAGUUGACAAAAAAACAAUAUUUUUUUAUCAUACUUCUGACAAUUUCAUACAAUGUAUUUUCAUUUCCUCUCCUUCACUCUCCCCCUUAACUAAUCUAAGAAGCCCAUACCACCACCCUACCCACCCUUCUAAUUCACGUCCUAUUAUAUUUCUUUGAUUUUUCUUAAUUUACUCAAUACAACCCAUAUACUCAUGAGUAUGGGCCUAUUCACUGAAGUGGCAAUUUUAUAAUUUAAUAUCCAACUUUUAUGGGAUAAAUCAUGCUUAAGACAAACUGUAGGAUAUUGUGGGAUAGUUCAAUAGCAGAGUGCUUGCUUAACAUUAUCAAAGCCAUGUGCCCAACUAGAUAGAUAGAUAGAUAGAUAGAUAGAUAGAUAGAUAGAUAGAUAGAUAGAGAUAAAAUAGAAUCAAAAAUCAUAGAUACAUAGACAGCAACUUCUAGAGGUUAUCCAACAGUUUUUUUUUAUUGUACUUUAAAGCACUUCCAUUAUGCGUUUUGUUAAGGGAUUGGAUGUUAAUGUGCUACCACCAAAGAAACUGUUUUGGCUAGCCCUCUUACAUAAUAGAAUAAUGUCAUCAUUUCAUUCAAGACCAUUCAUUAACAGAGUUGAGAUAUUUAAUAACACUUUUUUAGCUAUAAAUGUAGACUAGAGAAUUAUAGGGAUUUGAUUAGGUGGCCUGUAAUAGGCAGGGUUCUCUAGAAUAACAGAAUUUAUAGAAAGAAUCUAUGUGUGUGUGUGUGUGUGUGUGUGUGUGUGUGUG
This is a long non-coding RNA of Alexandromys fortis (reed vole), 1528 nucleotides long. RefSeq lists it as uncharacterized. NCBI's taxonomy places the organism in Eukaryota, Metazoa, Chordata, Mammalia, Rodentia, Cricetidae. The transcript is spliced from 4 exons. The record is from RefSeq and is a predicted model, not a curated record.